GACGAACGCUGGCGGUGUGCUUAACACAUGCAAGUCGAACGGUAAGGCCCUUUCGGGGGUACACGAGUGGCGAACGGGUGAGUAACACGUGGGUGAUCUGCCCUCCUCUCUGGGAUAAGAGUCGGAAACGGUGGCUAAUACCGGAUAUGAGCUUGCAUGGCAGUGUGUGGGUUGGAAAGAUUUUUUUUUGUUGGGGAUUGACUCGCCGUCUGUCAGCUUGUUGGGUAGGGUGUGGCCCACCAAGGCUCGGGCGGGUAGCCGGCGCGGGAGGGCGACCCGCCACAUUGGGACUGAGAUACCGGCCAAACUCCCACCGGGGGGAACAGUGGGGAAGAUUUGAAAAAGGGCGGAAGGCCUGUUCAGCAACGCCGCGGGCGGGGUUGCGGCCUUCGGGGUGUAAACCUCUUUCCAUUAGGACGAAGCUUUUUUGUGACGGUAGCAGGAGAAGAAGCACCGGCUAACUACGUG
RNAcentral lists this ribosomal RNA (468 nucleotides) under uncultured bacterium. RNAcentral's name for it is "partial 16S ribosomal RNA". It matches the Rfam family "Bacterial small subunit ribosomal RNA", at positions 28 to 507 of the family's 1533-position model. The record is from RNAcentral.